AGGUGGGAGGAUUGCUUGAGCCCAGGAGGUGGAGGCUGCAGUAAGCUGAGAUUGUACCACUGCACUCCAGCCUGAGUGACAGAGCAAGACCCUGUCUCA
MicroRNA precursor from Aotus nancymaae (Ma's night monkey), 99 nucleotides. Lineage: Eukaryota; Metazoa; Chordata; Mammalia; Primates; Aotidae. The record is from Ensembl.